AGUGAACGCUGGCGGUAGGCCUAACACAUGCAAGUCGAACGGCAGCACAGUAAGAGCUUGCUCUUACGGGUGGCGAGUGGCGGACGGGUGAGGAAUACAUCGGAAUCUACCUUUUUGUGGGGGAUAACGUAGGGAAACUUACGCUAAUACCGCAUACGACCUACGGGUGAAAGCAGGGGAUCUUCGGACCUUGCGCGAUUGAAUGAGCCGAUGUCGGAUUAGCUAGUUGGCGGGGUAAAGGCCCACCAAGGCGACGAUCCGUAGCUGGUCUGAGAGGAUGAUCGGCAACACUGGAACUGAGCAACGGCCCCAACCCCUACGGGAGGCAGCAGUGGGAAAUAUUGGACAUGGGCGCAAGCCUGAUCCAGCCAUACCGCGUGGGUGAAGAAGGCCUUCGGGUUGUAAAGCCCUUUUGUUGGGAAAGAAAAGCAGCAGGUUAAUACCCCGCUGUUCUGACGGUACCCAAAGAAUAAGCACCGGCUAACUUCGUG
RNAcentral lists this ribosomal RNA (491 nucleotides) under uncultured bacterium. RNAcentral's name for it is "partial 16S ribosomal RNA". It matches the Rfam family "Bacterial small subunit ribosomal RNA", at positions 29 to 507 of the family's 1533-position model. The record is from RNAcentral.